Molecule: transfer RNA, 61 nt
Filed under: Hyalella sp. 30-5C
Lineage: Eukaryota; Metazoa; Arthropoda; Malacostraca; Amphipoda; Hyalellidae
Also listed under: 3 other names
Description: tRNA-Pro
Source: RNAcentral
CAAAAAAUAGUUUAUACAAAACAAUAGAUUUGGGUUCUAUAAAAAUUAGCAAUUUUUUUGA